RNAcentral lists this unclassified non-coding RNA (807 nucleotides) under Carpetania elisae. Its description in RNAcentral is "Hormogaster elisae partial contains 16S ribosomal RNA, tRNA-Leu, tRNA-Ala, tRNA-Ser, and tRNA-Leu". The stretch from base 1 to 525 matches the Rfam family "Bacterial large subunit ribosomal RNA", at positions 1857 to 2925 of the family's 2925-position model. The record is from RNAcentral. Lineage: Eukaryota; Metazoa; Annelida; Clitellata; Crassiclitellata; Hormogastridae.
UCCUGCCCAGUGACAUAGUUCAACGGCCGCGGUAUCCUAACCGUGCAAAGGUAGCAUAAUCACUUGCCUAUUAAUUGUAGGCUAGAAUGAAAGGAUAAACGAAAUAAAAGCUGUCUCUAUAUAUAAAGUAAAAAUUAAUAUCUAACUGAAGAGUGUUAGAUAUAAUCGAAGGACAAGAAGACCCUAUAGAGCUUUAUCUAACAAAGACCCAAAAAUCUUUUACAGGAUUCGGUUGGGGCGACCAAGGAUAUACAUAAUCAUCCUAUAUAAAAAGAUUUAUAAAUCAUAACUCUGACCCUUAAUAAAGAACACAAAAACAAGCUACCUUAGGGAUAACAGACUAAUCCUGCUUGAGAGUUCUUAUCUAAAGCAGGGAUUGGCACCUCGAUGUUGGCUUAGGGUAACUAUAUGAUGCAAAAAUCAUAUAAAGAUGGUUUGUUCAACCAAUAAAUCCCUACAUGAGCUGAGUUCAGACCGGCGUAAGCCAGGUUAGUUUCUAUCCACGAUAACCAUAAUCUAUUUCUAGUACGAAAGGACCGGAAUAAGAAUAAUUAUUAAAUUUAAUGAAUUACUAUAAUUUUAAUUAUAAAUUUAAUUUACUAAAAACUAUAAGUGUUUUGGCAGAAUAGUGCCACUGAUUUAGGAUCAGUUUAUGGAUUAAACCACUCACUAAUGCAACUUAGUUUAUUUAGAAUAAUCAACUUGCACUUGAUAGGAGAAAAUUUCAGUAGCGAUUUGAUGUUUUGGAAACAACAGACCUUGAAAGUCUGCUAAAGGUGUUCGAAUCAUCUUCAAACCUGACAAGAU